AUGUGCCACAAACUUUUUCCAAAGGUCAGUCAUCGCUCAUUACAAGCUGAAAACUGUUUAGUGACUAAUUUACCCAGUGAAACAUCUUUUAAAGUCAGAGCUGAAAACUGCGAGAGUGAAGGAAGUGAGGAUGCAACCACAGAGGAUAGGCGAGAUGGAGAGAGUGAGCAUAGGUUCCGUCGAAAGGUGACCCGCGUUGGAGCGUGUGCCGCUUCAGGAGUAAGUGCUAGAUUAGCAGUAAUGAGGAAGUGGUCUGAGGUGUGCAGUGGAGUAACUAAAGUGUUGUCCACUGAGCAACAGCGCGUGUAGAUGAGGUCCAGUUGGUUGCCCGAUUUGUGAGUCGCUGUAGUAGAGACUCGCUUGAGAUCAAAUGAGGCGAGCAGAGUGUUGAAGUCAGCAGCCUGGGGUUUAUCUAGGUGGAUGUUGAAGUCACCAAGCAGUACCAGAGGAGUACCAUCUUCAGGAUAGUUUAAUAGCAGCACGUCCAACUCCUCCAAGAAGUUUCCCAAUGGACCUGGGGGACGAUAAAUGACCACAAAGUGGAUUUGAACAGGGUGGGUUACAGUAACAGCAUGUGAUUCAAAUGAACCGUGACCUGUAGGUGGUGGUUGAAGAUCAAAUUUCCAAUCUUUCGAUAUAAGGAGACCAGUACCUCCACCCCUCCCAGUCGUACGAGGGGUGUGGGAACAAGUGAAAUGAGUGGAGAGGGCUGCGGGAGUGGCAGUGUCCUCAGGUUUGAUCCAGGUCUCAGUCAGUGCCAUGAGGCUGAGACAAGAAUGAGUAGCAAUAGAAGAAAUUAAGUCUGCUUUGUUAACAGCGGACUGGCAGUUCCAGAGACCAAGUGGAAUAGAGAGCGUUGGAGUAGAGGUCAGAGGGACAGGCCUUAGACUUCAGUUAUAUGAGCCUAAAAUUCAAUAAUAUUAAUUUAUGAUAUAGUUUAGCAAUAUCACACCAGCAAGAGUAGUGUUUCUCCCCAGUAUCUGCACAACUGCAAAGUUGAUACUGAUUUAUACAAACACUUCAAUAAAC
Cyprinus carpio carpio is the source of this 1029-nucleotide long non-coding RNA. The record is from Ensembl. NCBI's taxonomy places the organism in Eukaryota, Metazoa, Chordata, Actinopteri, Cypriniformes, Cyprinidae.